CGUAAAACGCUGGAGGAGAAGUCAGUAGCAAGCAGCUAAGACAACAUGGUACAUGUGGCUAGAAGCCCACCAACUGCUAACAACCAGCUGGAGGGUAAGUCAAAAGCUAUGAGAGCCCAGAAGGAGAACAAUUAUUUAGACCUGGAGGGGCCAGUUGGGAAAGUCUUUGAAGGGUCUUCAGAAAAUGGACCAAAAGAAAAGAGGAAAAGUCAUUCUACUGAGAGGUGUUUGUGUAAUCAAAGCAACCGAGGCCUAAGAACUCACAAAAGAUUAGAAAAGGGUAAAGGAUGCCUGGAAAGCCGGACUAGGAAAAGGCUGUGAAGGGCCUUGCCUGCAGCAUGCAGAAUCAAAACAGUUUGACAUCGACAGUACAGGAAACCAUUUGGGUUUCUUGUACACCAAAAUAUUAAAACAUACACGCAAACACACCAACACAUUAAAAUCUUGAGAGAGAGGGCCAAAAGUUCUUUGUCGCUGGACUAAAAGUGGAAAUAAAUGUUUACAACCUCUAAGGUGGAUUAAGCUAAGAAUUUGGAGUUGUUGGCAAAACUGCCACAUAAAAUUUCAGACAUGCAAAGAAAUGCAAUCGUAGACUUAUGCACAUACUUCCACCAGAGAAGGGAAUCUGGGCAGAGUGUUCAAAGCUUAAGAAAUUCCUUUGCUCUUCACCAAGAAGAGCCAACAGAGUUUUCGUUGAAUCAACUCUUAUAUUCCCUUAAAAAGAAGUUGAUAGUGUUGUGGAAAACUCACCCAUUGAAGUGACAACAAAAACAGCAACCCAGUAUGAGUUAACUGGUAUUAUGUUAAAGGGACAAGUAACUGCACUUUUGACACACAUCCUCUAAAAGGUAGGGUGGGAGUGUUUCAAAGAACCAAGUCUGAGUAACGAUUUGUUACUAGGCUAAAAAUAAAAUCUGCAGCCCAGAAGUAGAACAUAUUACAUAUAGCACUAUAGUUUCAUAAAGGAGAUGGCAUUGGUCAAUCAGAAACCUGAAGGUUUAGUCAGUAAGUGCUCUAUGAGGGAUCAGUUAGCAAUUUACAAAGAAAAAUUAAUUUAGAGCCUCAUCUCAUUUCAUAGGCCAAAAUAUAUUUUAGAUAAAGAAGUAAACAUUAAAAAUUAAACAACAGAAACCAGUAAAAAAAGUGAAAUAAAUAUUUAUCAAAUGUCUAGAUUCAAAAGCACUUAGCUUAGAAAUGAUAAAAGGCUUAAGAGAUAAAAAUAAGAUUGAGCCAUAUACAAAUUUAAAACUUUAAUAUCUAAACUCUAAAAAUCAUAAGACAAGUAUCAAAUUGUGAAAAUGGCUACAGAAAAUACUAAAAGCAUUAAUAACUUUAUUGUAUUAUGAGCUUGUAUUAAUGGACAAAAAAAUAAGAAAAAAGGCGGAAAUACAAAUAAAUACAAAAUUAACUACAAAGGGAAAUUAAAAAUAAUUAUGGUUUUUGAUUAUAUAACUAAUCAACAAACAUACAAAACCUAUAUUCAUUCUCAGUUGUAAUGGAAAUCCAAAAUAAAACAACAUUAAGACACAUUUUUUUUACUGGUAUAAAUAGUAUUUUUCUAAUUGAUAAUAUUCAAUGUAAAUGCCACCACCUGCCCCGCCACUUCCCAACAGCCAAUGGCUGACUCAUGAACACGGAAGUCCAGUCUGCUUCAAAUCAUGAUAAGUCUGCUGUACUACUUAUGCUCCAGAGUCCCCUAUUGAUCAGGCCAAGGCUAGACUUCAUUAGAGGAUAUCCUCGUUUGGUAAUUUGCACUUUCCUAUGUCACUUCCCUUUUUCUGAUAUAGGUUUGGCCUGAAGAACACUUCCUCAAUAAGUCCCUUGUCCUCAGUU
Molecule: long non-coding RNA, 1833 nt
Filed under: Homo sapiens (human)
Lineage: Eukaryota; Metazoa; Chordata; Mammalia; Primates; Hominidae
Description: non-protein coding IFNG-AS1:6
Source: RNAcentral